GUCCAGGGGCGGGAAACGAACCCACAAUGUUCCGCUUACCGGGCAGAUGCCAUGUCCACUUGGCUACCCUGGA
RNAcentral lists this transfer RNA (73 nucleotides) under Cordylochernes scorpioides. RNAcentral describes it as "tRNA-Thr". The record is from RNAcentral. Lineage: Eukaryota; Metazoa; Arthropoda; Arachnida; Pseudoscorpiones; Chernetidae.